UUCGAGCAGGUAUUGUUAGAAUAUAAGUAGGAUUAUAUAUACUAUUCCUAUUAGAAUGGUGGUCCAAGUUUUGCUAACAUAAUUAUUGGCCAGACGGGCAGCAUAUAUGGGUAAUAGCCGCUUGUCGGCAGCGGAAGCUCUUUGAUUCUCUACCAAGAUCGUAGAGGCUAUGACUCCAUGUGAGAAAUAUCAGAGAUCAUUUUAGAUUUAAGAAAAUAAAGCAACUAGAGACAGCGAUAUGAAAGAAAGACAAAAGGGAACUGAAGGAAUUUCCACACCCAAUAAUUUUCCUUCCUUUUGCUUUCAUCCCCAGAAGAAUUCAUGCAGCCUGUGAUAUUCUACGUUGCUCGGACUCUUCAAAAAUGUCAGCGGGUGCGUGUCGGUUUCGCCAAAAGUAGUCUUUGGAGAAUUUGACACGGGUGCGGCAUCAAAAGUGAAGAGUCCGCGCAACUUAGGUGAAAAUCACUAAUUGGCAGCUCUAAGCAAUCAGCAGAAACUUACAUGCUUCUCUUCCUGCUCAUUCUGAGACUGAAGAUCACGCUGAGUCUUCUCAGCCAAAGCCUUGGCCUGACACAUAAAGAAAAAGAAUCAGAUACGGUAAAGAGUAACCCAAUGCAACUACUUCACUUCAAAAUAACACCACGGAAUAGCAUUUCCAUUCUUUUAUAUAUGUACACCCUGGAAGCAUUCUGAGAUGCAAAUAACAACUGGACUAGAAGUCAGAUUUGUCAUCACCUAAACUUCGGGAUUUGGGAUAUGAAUAGAAGUAUGGUUACAGACUUACCAGUGCUCAGGUACGGCUAAUAUAGUAAUAUUUAUGUUCAACUCCUAAAACAUAGAGCUGUAAAAAAUGUAGCAACAAAUAUCGAGAAGACUGAAGUGAUUAAUUACACUCCACUUGAUUUCUCCAAGUGAGCUCAUUUUUUACUUGCCUAUUUCAAGUGGUUUUCUGUUUUCCUAAACUCAAAAUACAGAUACUGAACUUCUUUCCAUAAAGAAAAAUGAACUUCCUUGAGCCUGUGGUGGCUUCUACAGCGUAAACCCAAUAAAAUAUAAAAGUGUGCACGAUUGUCAGGGGAUGUGGAUCAAGUUGGCUGAAGAAACCUUUUUUAACCAAAACAACAGCCGACACCAAGUCCAAAAGAAGGGCAUAUCUACUCCAGUUCGACACUUUCCAAUCUGAAGCCCCCACAUAAAAACUCUCCUCGUAUUUCUAUUCAUCUUCCUAGCUCUUCUUUCUCAGGAAGGUUUCACGAUUCUUUCGCCUCAAAAACAAAAUACUCCUCAUACAGAAUUUCUUUGUUCUUCUCUCUCACUAUUUAAUCGUCAUGCUGACUAAAGCCUCUUCUUCCUUUCCUUCUGUUAAAUUCUUUGUCACUGAGUUGUGGCUUAGCUACCUUCAAGGAUGAGCAAGCCAUGAAGGAAGCGAUUGAGGGAUAGAUGGCCAAAUAGACGACAACAAUGGACCAGGUUUGUACUUUUUGUUCUCUCGUCAUCUUCUUCUCCCAUUAGUCAUCCUUUCAUUUGCAACUCAAUGCCAGUUGAGGAUCCUCAAGAUAAUGAAGGGAUAUUAUUUGAAUCCCGUUCAAGCACUGGUGUAAUGUGGAUGAACACCGUUUCAAGAGAGGAAACUAAGGAUCCGUGUAACAUAGCAAACAACUCAAACAUAUCAAAGGAAAGUAAAUAUCACAUUGGCAAAUUUCCACAAUGGAAUUCCAACUGAUAGUUAAAGCCCAUAUCGAUACUCUAUAUUACACCAAAAUGAGAAGGUCGAGGUCAGAUGUUUGGGGAAAAUGUAUUUUUUUGAAAAAUCUAUUUAAUAUGUACGGCGUACAAAUUUAGAACCAGCACCUUCAAAGGGCUAGAACCCAAAACCAAUGAACUUUAAAUCUUGAAUCCGCCUUUAGAAAAGGUAAUACAAAAGCUGCACAAGAAACAGAAGGAACCAAUCUUGAGGAUUUACCCCAUUAAAUAAGAGACCUUGCUUGCAUUGUUUUAGAAUGAUCAUUUGUAAAUUACACACUGAACUUGGAACAUCUCUCACUUUCCCAACCAACUCUAAAGAAAUGCUUAACUUUUUUCUUUUCUGCACUACAAGUCCCAAAGGAAGAUACAACCAUUAGACAUCAAGUUGUCAAUGUGUUGUAGUACUUGACGAACGUUGUUUCCUCCGUCCCUCCAGGCUCUAACUCUCCCUCUCUCUAAUUUAAAGUUUGAUAGAAUGCAUUAAAGAGAAAAAUAAAACCCCGAAUCUAAGGGUAAAAUGAUAGUUAAGGAGAUACAUCACAAACCAAACUCACCCGGCCAGGAGUUCUUCACACUGCCUUUUCUAAUGCAUCUGGUACAUCUUUAAAGCCUCUCAGUUAAAUGAUAACUCAAGCAAACAUUUGACCAACUCAUAUACAGAUUUUUCUUUUCUUAAUGUAGCUGAAUUUUUCAAAUAGCCACACAUCAAAACUAACUUAAAAACCAUUCACUUUCAGUAGAAUCAAGGUUGAAUUAAUGCAUCUAAAAGUAGGAAGGCCAUUGCAAGUUAUGCAUACAUGCUAGCACAAUACUCAUCCAACAAUAAGAAGGUUAUUGCAAG
RNAcentral lists this long non-coding RNA (2587 nucleotides) under Capsicum annuum. RNAcentral describes it as "long non-coding RNA (CANN_LNC009653)". Lineage: Eukaryota; Viridiplantae; Streptophyta; Magnoliopsida; Solanales; Solanaceae. The record is from RNAcentral.